ACAAUAUCCAUAUCAAAUUUGCCAUUGCAUGUAAAAUAUUCUUUUCAACAAAUUUUAUCUAGAUAAUAUUUUUGAAAUAUUUGCUCAACACCAUAAGUCUAUGACAUCUGGGUUGAAUCAAGGAGAGUUGGCUUCAAAGUUAAAUUUCAAUUAUUUUAUUUUUGAUAAAAUCACAUAUACCAAGAUGCCAUAUCAAUAUCAGAUGAUGUUUAGAUAUUAGUAAUAAAUAUUUGCUCAACACCAAAAACCUAUGACAUCUGGACUGAAUCAAGGAGAGUUGGCUUCAAACUUAUCAAUUAUGCAGGAUCGAGAGUAUUCAAACAAUUAAGAAGUAAAAGAACAGUUUUAUCUCCUCGUAUAAAUGUUAAUGAGUCGGAGAAAAUCAUUAAAUUCUCCUAUAUUCCUCUAGAUAACGAAAACCUUAAUAAUUUAGAUUUUGAUAAUGACUACGAGAUAAGAUACAUAAAGAAAACGCCCUGGUACCUAAUCAACGCAAUAAAUACAAAAAAUAAAUCUAAAGUAUUUAACGUCAAAGAAUACACUGAUUAUCGCAUAACAACUCUAACUUCUCCAUUAUAAUUAAUUACAAUAUAUUUUGAUAUAAUAGACGUUAGCAUUUAAAUUAUAUUAUAGAUUACGAAGAAUAUUAGUUUAUAUGAUAUUUUAUAAUCAAUAAUUUUAUGUUACUACUACU
Molecule: long non-coding RNA, 694 nt
Organism: Gordionus sp. m RMFG-2023
Lineage: Eukaryota; Metazoa; Nematomorpha; Gordioida; Chordodea; Parachordodidae
Exons: 6
Source: RefSeq, a predicted model, not a curated record